Molecule: ribosomal RNA, 429 nt
Filed under: Bacteroidota bacterium
Lineage: Bacteria; Pseudomonadati; Bacteroidota
Description: Bacteroidetes bacterium partial 16S ribosomal RNA
Rfam family: Bacterial small subunit ribosomal RNA
Source: RNAcentral
UAGGGAAUCUUCCGCAAUGGACGCAAGUCUGACGGAGCAACGCCGCGUGAGUGAAGAAGGAUUUCGGUUCGUAAAACUCUGUUGUUAGAGAAGAACAGCGCAUAGAGUAACUGUUAUGCGUGUGACGGUAUCUAACCAGAAAGCCACGGCUAACUACGUGCCAGCAGCCGCGGUAAUACGAAGGUGGCAAGCGUUGUCCGGAUUUAUUGGGCGUAAAGCGAGCGCAGGCGGUCAAUUAAGUCUGAUGUGAAAGCCCCCGGCUCAACCGGGGAGGGUCAUUGGAAACUGGUUGACUUGAGUGCAGAAGAGGAGAGUGGAAUUCCAUGUGUAACGGUGAAAUGCGUAGAUAUAUGGAGGAACACCAGUGGCGAAGGCGACUCUCUGGUCUGUAACUGACGCUGAGGCUCGAAAGCGUGGGUAGCAAACAGG